Molecule: ribosomal RNA, 495 nt
Filed under: uncultured bacterium
Lineage: Bacteria
Description: partial 16S ribosomal RNA
Rfam family: Bacterial small subunit ribosomal RNA
Source: RNAcentral
GACGAACGCUGGCGGCGUGCCUAAUACAUGCAAGUAGAACGCUGAAGGAGGAGCUUGCUGCUCUGGAUGAGUGGCGAACGGGUGAGUAACGCGUAGGUAACCUGCCUGGUAGCGGGGGAUAACUAUUGGAAACGAUAGCUAAUACCGCAUAAUAGCAGAUGUUGCAUGACAUUUGCUGAAAAGUUGCAAUUGCAUCACUACCAGAUGGAGCUGCGCUGCAUUGGCUAGUUGGUGGGGUAUCGGCCCACCAAGGCGACGAUGCAUAGCCGACGUGCGAGGGGGGGCGGCCACACUGGGACUGUGACACGGCCCAGAGGCCUACGGGAGGCGGCAGUAGGGAAACGUCGGCAAUGGGCGGAAGACUGUGCGAGAUGCGCCGCGGGAGGGAAGAAGGUUGUCGGGUCGGGAAGCUCGGUUGUCGGGGAAGAACGAGUGUGAGAGUGGAAAGUUCACACUGUGACGGUAUCUGAUAAGAAAGCAACGGCUAACUACGUG